RNAcentral lists this long non-coding RNA (973 nucleotides) under Fukomys damarensis (Damara mole-rat). Its description in RNAcentral is "lncRNA (ENSFDAG00000025850.1)". The record is from RNAcentral. Lineage: Eukaryota; Metazoa; Chordata; Mammalia; Rodentia; Bathyergidae.
UCACAAUCUAUCUUCAAAUAAUUUUGUGACAAGAUUUUUCCAUUCUCUCUAUAGAUGAAAACAUGAAGGACCAGGAGGCUGUGCUGUUCGACCAAUAGCCCCAUUUGAGCAGUGGGAUACUAAGUCCUAUUGCAUCAUAGGACUAUUCUAUUCUUUGAUGUACUGGGUCAUCUCUGAGAAUCUACUUCGCCCUACGUCCUUCUCUCUUGGGAAUUUCACUGGAGACCAGUGUCCACUGAGCUCCUGCAAAGUACUCUGUACGGGCCCAGGCAUCCUGCGGGAGACAGGUGUUAUGCAUACUCAGCAUAUAAAUGGUCCAUGUACCUAUGCUUGCCCUUUCUACCUUUGGGCUCUGAACUGGUUAACCCACCUUUUAAGGUGGUAGUGAAGGAAGGUGUCACACGUAUGUGACCAGAAUGGAGACUUUCACAGGGACAGCAGAACUGGACAGAAUGGCAUGGCAUGGCAUAUAUGAGGAGGAAAGCAGGACAUCCGGCAGGAGAGGGCUUAUAGUCUGUGCAACUGCCUGACUCACCACACAAGCAAGCAUCUCACCUUGCCAAAUCCUGGCUCUGUCACCUGAGAGAAAGAUAAACAUGGUGAGUCUUCCUUCCAGUGUCUCAGAGAGGAAAGGACUGCAUCUGGUAGACAAGAAAGUUUUCCAUAAAUGUUUGUUGAACCUCAGAGUCUGCCAUCAUUUUCCUCUGCUACUGGCAUUUGAGAUAAACAGCUUCCUUCCAGUUCUUCCCUUACCUCCUGUCAUUUUUACUGCAAACCUUAUCCAGCCUUGAGACUCUCCUGCCUUCAAGCCCCUGAUAAACAGUAGGCUCCAGAAAGGCCUCAUAGAGCAUUAGAGUCUACAGAGCACAAUUCAGGGAUAUUUGAAGAGAAAGGUGGAUGAGAGUAGGAUUACUAGCAUUAAAAAAUGCAGGUUCAUCUAGGAAACAAAGAAAUAAAACCCAACAAAUCAGAC